UGCAAGUCGAGCGAACAGAUAAGGAGCUUGCUCCUUUGACGUUAGCGGCGGACGGGUGAGUAACACGUGGGUAACCUACCUAUAAGACUGGGAUAACUUCGGGAAACCGGAGCUAAUACCGGAUAACAUUUGGAACCGCAUGGUUCUAAAGUGAAAGAUGGUUUUGCUAUCACUUAUAGAUGGACCCGCGCCGUAUUAGCUAGUUGGUAAGGUAACGGCUUACCAAGGCGACGAUACGUAGCCGACCUGAGAGGGUGAUCGGCCACACUGGAACUGAGACACGGUCCAGACUCCUACGGGAGGCAGCAGUAGGGAAUCUUCCGCAAUGGGCGAAAGCCUGACGGAGCAACGCCGCGUGAGUGAUGAAGGGUUUCGGCUCGUAAAACUCUGUUAUUAGGGAAGAACAAACGUGUAAGUAACUGUGCACGUCUUGACGGUACCUAAUCAGAAAGCCACGGCUAACUACGUGCCAGCAGCCGCGGUAAUACGUAGGUGGCAAGCGUUAUCCGGAAUUAUUGGGCGUAAAGCGCGCGUAGGCGGUUUCUUAAGUCUGAUGUGAAAGCCCACGGCUCAACCGUGGAGGGUCAUUGGAAACUGGGAAACUUGAGUGCAGAAGAGGAAAGUGGAAUUCCAUGUGUAGCGGUGAAAUGCGCAGAGAUAUGGAGGAACACCAGUGGCGAAGGCGACUUUCUGGUCUGUAACUGACGCUGAUGUGCGAAAGCGUGGGGAUCAAACAGGAUUAGAUACCCUGGUAGUCCACGCCGUAAACGAUGAGUGCUAAGUGUUAGGGGGUUUCCGCCCCUUAGUGCUGCAGCUAACGCAUUAAGCACUCCGCCUGGGGAGUACGACCGCAAGGUUGAAACUCAAAGGAAUUGACGGGGACCCGCACAAGCGGUGGAGCAUGUGGUUUAAUUCGAAGCAACGCGAAGAACCUUACCAAAUCUUGACAUCCUUUGAAAACUCUAGAGAUAGAGCCUUCCCCUUCGGGGGACAAAGUGACAGGUGGUGCAUGGUUGUCGUCAGCUCGUGUCGUGAGAUGUUGGGUUAAGUCCCGCAACGAGCGCAACCCUUAAGCUUAGUUGCCAUCAUUAAGUUGGGCACUCUAGGUUGACUGCCGGUGACAAACCGGAGGAAGGUGGGGAUGACGUCAAAUCAUCAUGCCCCUUAUGAUUUGGGCUACACACGUGCUACAAUGGACAAUACAAAGGGCAGCUAAACCGCGAGGUCAUGCAAAUCCCAUAAAGUUGUUCUCAGUUCGGAUUGUAGUCUGCAACUCGACUACAUGAAGCUGGAAUCGCUAGUAAUCGUAGAUCAGCAUGCUACGGUGAAUACGUUCCCGGGUCUUGUACACACCGCCCGUCACACCACGAGAGUUUGUAACACCCGAAGCCGGUGGAGUAACCAUUUAUGGAGCUAGCCGUCGA
This 1424-nucleotide ribosomal RNA is filed under the name bacterium. RNAcentral's name for it is "bacterial SSU rRNA". It matches the Rfam family "Bacterial small subunit ribosomal RNA". The record is from RNAcentral.